AAUGGGAUACCUAAUAAAAGGACUAUUUUGAUAGAAUAGAAUAUGUGGCUUUACCACUCCCAUUU
Molecule: transfer RNA, 65 nt
Filed under: Anthonomus rectirostris
Lineage: Eukaryota; Metazoa; Arthropoda; Insecta; Coleoptera; Curculionidae
Description: tRNA-Ile
Source: RNAcentral